This 252-nucleotide ribosomal RNA is filed under the name uncultured Bacteroidales bacterium. Its description in RNAcentral is "partial 16S ribosomal RNA". It matches the Rfam family "Bacterial small subunit ribosomal RNA", at positions 524 to 776 of the family's 1533-position model. The record is from RNAcentral. Lineage: Bacteria; Pseudomonadati; Bacteroidota; Bacteroidia; Bacteroidales.
UACGUAGGAUGCGAGCGUUAUCCGGAUUUAUUGGGUUUAAAGGGUGCGUAGGCGGAUUUUUAAGUCAGCGGUAAAAUGUCCGGGCUCAACCCGGGCCGGCCGUUGAAACUGGGGAUCUUGAGUGGGCGAGAAGUAUGCGGAAUGUGUAGUGUAGCGGUGAAAUGCAUAGAUAUUACACAGAACACCGAUUGCGAAGGCAGCAUGCCGGCUCCACACUGACGCUGAGGCACGAAAGCGUGGGUAUCGAACAGG